CAAUAAGGCACAAAGCCCACAAGUCUUGAGGCUUCAUGGCCCUUCUCUGACCCAGAGAGCUCCCUACCAUGCCCUUUCUCUGUGACCUCCUCAGCCUUAGCAAUUUCAACUGAAAUUAAGUGACUAGAUGGUGACUGCUGACAUGAUCAGAUCUGGAAUUUUUCUGCUUGUUGACCAGGGACUAUCACUAGGAAACAAUAUCAGAAUUACUUAAUGUGUGAAAAUAUGAUCAGAAAAUAGGAAGCUGUAAAAAGAAAUUUUAUGAAUUUUCCACUAUUGAAAAUGCAAUAUAAAAUUUUAGAUGUCAUAAACAGCAGAUCAGAGAGUGCAGAGUUAAUAUUUGCUGAAUUUGAAGUCUGAACAUCAGACAUCAUCCAAUCAGAACAGCAGCAUACUGAAAGAAGUCAGAAACAGAUGGUUCAUUUGUGUAUAUUUGAGAGAAAAACUGAAAACGGGUCGGAAGAAUAACUGAAGAAAUUACAGAUGAAAACUCUUCCAAUGCCAAUGAAGCCUUACCUGAAUGAUGAAAUUUAUAGGUCACGUAUUUUUUGUGUUAAAUCCUCAAUAGAUUCUCGUUCUUGAUUGCAAGUCUCCUGUGCUGUCAUAUCCCAUACUUUGUAUGACAAGAAGUGAAAUAUAUGAAAAAGGUUCGUGGGUGUGAUUCAGUGCGAGUCCUCCAAAGAGAACCUCUGGAGUGGAAGUCAUUCUCCAUUAGGACCAUGGCUCUUCAAUCUGCCCUGUACUCUCCUCCCAAUUUCUUUAUAUGCUGCAUAUAAAAGACAAUUGACUUAUCAAAA
Peromyscus eremicus (cactus mouse) is the source of this 797-nucleotide long non-coding RNA. RefSeq lists it as uncharacterized. The record is from RefSeq and is a predicted model, not a curated record. Lineage: Eukaryota; Metazoa; Chordata; Mammalia; Rodentia; Cricetidae. The transcript has 3 exons.